UUAAACCCCAUGGCGAUUUGACUGUGUUCGUGGGAUCUGAGCGCUGUUUGGAUAUAUUGAGCGCUCAGAUCCAAGUUAUCUGUGGGGGUUCUGUUCAGUAUGAUCGGAAUUAUGUAUUUUUACUGUUGUUGUGAAUAGAGGGAUUUUCUGUACCUGGAGAUAAUUGGCUUACCAAAACCAAGCCAUGCUUGCAGUCGGUUAAAAAAGACUUCCAGCUAACUUUUGAACCACUGGACCAAUUUGUAUGAGUUUGACAUAUGUUUGUAUUUGGAGUAUGAUUCUAAAAAUGUAAGUUUUAUGUGAAUGUGAUGUAUACUUUUAGAGUUAUGAAUAUUGAGUAAAACUGUGUAUUUUCCUGCCUGUGAUAAUUAUGUUAGCCCAUUGUGUUCAGUAAUUAUAUCACAGGCAGAGGGGAGGAUUUUGCUGUAAUGAAUGGGAGUGUCAGAC
Non-coding RNA from Pelobates cultripes (western spadefoot toad), 447 nucleotides. Lineage: Eukaryota; Metazoa; Chordata; Amphibia; Anura; Pelobatidae. The record is from the annotation of a GenBank genome assembly.